This 870-nucleotide small RNA is filed under the name Pongo abelii (Sumatran orangutan). RNAcentral describes it as "retained intron". Lineage: Eukaryota; Metazoa; Chordata; Mammalia; Primates; Hominidae. The record is from RNAcentral.
AGAGAAGGAGAAGCGCGUUCGUGCGUCCUAUUCCCAGUACAGCGUGGAGGGGUUAGGCAGCGUGUCUGAUUCUCUGCGGAACGGCGAGCACAUUUGUGCUUUGCCCGCCGCGGCCCAGGAGGCCUUUUGGGGCCGCGUAGUCGGUGUUUUUGAACUGACUCCACAGCUCGUGGCGGGCCGUGCGGCGCCCUGACCCGGCCUGACCAUGUUGGUGCUGUUUGAAACGUCUGUGGGCUACGCCAUCUUUAAGGUUCUAAAUGAGAAGAAACUUCAAGAGGUUGAUAGUUUAUGGAAAGAAUUUGAAACUCCAGAGAAAGCAAACAAAAUAGUAAAGCUAAAACAUUUUGAGAAAUUUCAGGAUACAGCAGAAGCAUUAGCAGCAUUCACAGCUCUGAUGGAGGGCAAAAUCAAUAAGCAGCUGAAAAAAGUUCUGAAGAAAAUAGUAAAAGAAGCCCAUGAACCGCUGGCAGUAGCUGAUGCUAAACUAGGAGGGGUCAUAAAGGAAAAGCUGAAUCUCAGUUGUAUCCAUAGUCCUGUUGUUAAUGAACUUAUGAGAGGAAUUCGUUCACAAAUGGAUGGAUUAAUCCCUGGGGUAGAACCACGUGAAAUGGCAGCUAUGUGUCUUGGAUUGGCUCACAGGUGAGAAUUACUGGAAAAUAAAGUCAACUUACUUUUAUUUGAUAGGCACUUAACAUAGCUCUGUUCUAGGAAUGUUACAAAUGCUCAUUUGAACCACAUCAGAACCUUAUAAAGAAGAUGAUAGUAAUAUCCUCAUUUACAGAUGAAACUGAAGCCCAAGGUCAAUACAGCUAGUAAGUGGUAAAGCCAGGAUUUGAACCCAGGCAGUCUGGCUCCAUUGUCUGGAUUCUU